This 395-nucleotide unclassified non-coding RNA is filed under the name soil metagenome. Its description in RNAcentral is "partial contains 5.8S ribosomal RNA, internal transcribed spacer 2, and large subunit ribosomal RNA". The stretch from base 1 to 122 matches the Rfam family "5.8S ribosomal RNA", at positions 35 to 154 of the family's 154-position model. The record is from RNAcentral.
GAUGAAGAACGUAGCGAAAUGCGAUACUUGGUGUGAAUUGCAGAAUCCCGUGAACCAUCGAGUCUUUGAACGCAAGUUGCGCCCGAAGCCAUCAGGUUGAGGGCACGUCUGCCUGGGCGUCACAUAUCGUUGCCCAAUGCCUAUUGCAGUGCAAUAGGAAUUUCUAGGGCGAAUGAUGGCUUCCCGUGAGCGUUGUUGCCUCGCGGUUGGUUGAAAAUCGAGUCCUUGGUAGGGUGUGCCAUGGUAGAUGGUGGUCGAGUUAGAACGAUACCGAUCAUGUGCAUGCUCCCCAAAAUAUGGCCUCUAUGACCCACAUGCGUCUUUUGACGCUCAUGACGAGACCUCAGGUCAGGCGGGACUACCCGCUGAAUUUAAGCAUAUCAAUAAGCGGAGGA